UACGUAGGGGGCAAGCGUUGUCCGGAUUUAUUGGGCGUAAAGAGCGUGUAGGCGGCCUGACAGGUCUGCUGUGAAAACUCGAGGCUCAACCUCGAGAUGUCGGCGGAAACCGUCUGGCUAGAGUCCGGAAGAGGAGAGUGGAAUUCCUGGUGUAGCGGUGAAAUGCGCAGAUAUCAGGAAGAACACCUAUGGCGAAGGCAGCUCUCUGGGACGGUACUGACGCUGAGGAGCGAAAGCGUGGGGAGCGAACAGG
This 253-nucleotide ribosomal RNA is filed under the name uncultured bacterium. Its description in RNAcentral is "partial 16S ribosomal RNA". It matches the Rfam family "Bacterial small subunit ribosomal RNA", at positions 524 to 776 of the family's 1533-position model. The record is from RNAcentral.